Long non-coding RNA from Bactrocera latifrons, 444 nucleotides. RefSeq lists it as uncharacterized. The record is from RefSeq and is a predicted model, not a curated record. The transcript has 3 exons. NCBI's taxonomy places the organism in Eukaryota, Metazoa, Arthropoda, Insecta, Diptera, Tephritidae.
GUGACCGGUAGACAACCCAUUGUCAAACUGUAACUGUACGCAGCCUUGCAAAAUUUAAACUAUAAGCAACGCAUAACUAUAUUAAUGAAAAUAACGGUAGUAAUGGUAAUGGCAGCAAGGGCAUAAAAUUAAUACAAGUUUAAAAUUCUACACCUUGGUGUAACAGUAAAAUGAAGGCGACCAUUGAGACGAGCAACAAGUGAGAUAUGCCUCUGGGAAGAUAAAUUUAAGCAGAUUUACUACUUCCGAGCCCACUUUAAUGAAAACCGACGACAAACUUUGAUGAUGGUGAAUAUUGUGUAAUAUUUUACUCCGGAUUUCCACAUUUGCAUAUGGGAAAGAAGAGCAGACACCACUGCAUGGAAAUUGACUAAAUAAUUUAACCGAUACAUAAAUUUUCCAUUAUUUAUUUCCGAGCUAAAAACAGCGCAGCACCUUCUUUUC